GGGCGAUUGUUUACCAAAAACACAGGUCUCCGCAAAGUCGUAAGACCAUGUAUGGGGGCUGAUGCCUGCCCAAUGCCGGAAGGUCAAGGAAGUUGGUGACCUGAUGAUAGGGGAGCCGGUGACCGAAGCCCCAGUGAAUGGCGGUUGUAGCUAUAACGGUCCUAAGGUAACGAAUACUAUGGUUUAAGGCAAAAUUAGCAAAAUAAUAAAAAUGGUGGUAGAGAAGGGAUUUGAACUUGAGUUUCAAGGCACGUUUAACUAACACUUAUCCAAAAAACCAAUACCUUAUUUAUUUCCUAGAAAACAAAGAUAAUCUCAAAAUUUAAGGCAUGACUACUC
This 339-nucleotide non-coding RNA is filed under the name Gossypium arboreum. RNAcentral describes it as "Bacterial large subunit ribosomal RNA". It matches the Rfam family "Bacterial large subunit ribosomal RNA", at positions 1794 to 2010 of the family's 2925-position model. Lineage: Eukaryota; Viridiplantae; Streptophyta; Magnoliopsida; Malvales; Malvaceae. The record is from Rfam by way of RNAcentral.